This 253-nucleotide ribosomal RNA is filed under the name uncultured bacterium. Its description in RNAcentral is "partial 16S ribosomal RNA". It matches the Rfam family "Bacterial small subunit ribosomal RNA", at positions 524 to 776 of the family's 1533-position model. The record is from RNAcentral.
UCCGAAGGGGGAAAUCGUUGUUCGGAAUCACUGGGCGUAAAGCGCACGCAGGCGGAUCGAUAAGUCGGGGGUGAAAGCCCGGGGCUCAACCUCGGAAUUGCCUUCGAUACUGUCGGUCUCGAGUCCGGGAGAGGUGAGUGGAAUUCCUAGUGUAGAGGUGAAAUUCGUAGAUAUUAGGAAGAACACCAGUGGCGAAGGCGGCUCACUGGCCUGGUACUGACGCUCAGGUGCGAAAGCGUGGGGAGCAAACAGG